GGAUGUAGCUCAGUGGUAGAGUGCUUGCCCAGCAUGCACAAGGUCCUGGGUUCAAUCCCCAGCACCA
RNAcentral lists this transfer RNA (67 nucleotides) under Marmota monax (woodchuck). RNAcentral's name for it is "tRNA.Ala". It matches the Rfam family "tRNA", at positions 6 to 65 of the family's 71-position model. Rfam says of the family: Transfer RNA (tRNA) molecules are approximately 80 nucleotides in length. Their secondary structure includes four short double-helical elements and three loops (D, anti-codon, and T loops). Lineage: Eukaryota; Metazoa; Chordata; Mammalia; Rodentia; Sciuridae. The record is from RNAcentral.